Molecule: ribosomal RNA, 510 nt
Filed under: uncultured bacterium
Lineage: Bacteria
Description: bacterial SSU rRNA
Rfam family: Bacterial small subunit ribosomal RNA
Source: RNAcentral
GAUCCUGGCUCAGGAUGAACGCUAGCUACAGGCUUAACACAUGCAAGUCGAGGGCAGCAUGAAGUUUGCUUGCAAACUUGAUGGCGACCGGCGCACGGGUGAGUAACGCGUAUCCAACCUUCCCUAUACUAGAGGAUAGCCCGGCGAAAGUCGGAUUAAUACUCUAUGUUCUUCGUAGAAGACAUCUGAAAUGAAGCAAAGGUUUACCGGUAUAGGAUGGGGAUGCGUCUGAUUAGGUUGUGGCGGGCAACGGCCCACCAAGCCUACGAUCAGUAGGGGUUCUGAGAGGAAGGUCCCCCACAUUGGAACUGAGACACGGUCCAAACUCCUACGGGAGGCAGCAGUGAGGAAUAUUGGUCAAUGGACGAGAGUCUGAACCAGCCAAGUAGCGUGCAGGAUGACGGCCCUAUGGGUUGUAAACUGCUUUUAUACAGGGAUAAAGUGCACUACGUGUAGUGUUUUGUAGGUACUGUAUGAAUAAGGACCGGCUAAUUCCGUGCCAGCCGCGGC